Molecule: ribosomal RNA, 497 nt
Filed under: uncultured bacterium
Lineage: Bacteria
Description: partial 16S ribosomal RNA
Rfam family: Bacterial small subunit ribosomal RNA
Source: RNAcentral
GAUGAACGCUGGCGGCGUGCCUAAUACAUGCAAGUCGAGCGAACAGACGAGGAGCUUGCUCCUCUGACGUUAGCGGCGGACGGGUGAGUAACACGUGGAUAACCUACCUAUAAGACUGGGAUAACUUCGGGAAACCGGAGCUAAUACCGGAUAAUAUAUUGAACCGCAUGGGUCAAUAGUGAAAGACGGCUUUGCUGUCACUUCUAGAGGGAUCCGCGCCGCAUGAGCUAGUUGGUAAGGUAACGGCUUACCAAGGCAACGAUGCGUAGCCGACCUGAGAGGCGGGUAGGCGACACUGGAGGUGAGACAGGGUCCAGACUACUGAGAGAGGCAGCAGUAGGGAAUCGUCCGCAGUAGGCGAGAGCCUGACAGAGCGACGCCGAGUGAGAGAUGGAGGCCUUCGGAUCGUAAAGCUCGGUUAUUAGGGAAGAACAGAUGUGUAAGUAGCUGUGGACGUAUUGACGGUACCUAAUCAAGAAGCAACGGCUAACUACGUG